ACUUUCACUGUUUCACAUUCGCGUCUCGCUCCCUCUCUAGCUGCCCUUUCACUUGAAUCCCUUUCUCUCUCUCCAUGGUCUUCCACUAAAAAUACUUCAGCCAUGAGUUUCUUUUCAAGCCAUCACCACUGCUUGUGAAGAAAAGAUUUUGGGAAGAGAGGGACCCAUUCGGCCAAGCAAGGAAUUUGAGGUUUUGAGAUUUUUGAUGAUGGACCUAGUGAUGGAUUUGUUGAUUUCAUGGUGCUCAGUUGAGGUAAAAUUGGUUGGCCUCCCAAGACUCAAGUUGUAAGACAACCGCUGGAUUCACAGGUGCAUGAGACCUAUGAAAUGUAAGACACUCGCUACACAGUGGUGCAUCAGAAACUUCCUAGUAAGGUAGACGAUGUCGUGGCUGAAGCCGAAAGCAGGUACAUUGGACUAUGUCAACUAAAAGACGGUACUUCAGCAACACGUAUAAGAUUGGCACACAAGCAAAUAAACCAAUGACAAAAAAGAUCAAUGGCAAUUCCUGGUGAUUAUGAUUCUUCAAGCAAAAGGAUGCAGAAAAUGCAACCAUCAUGGCAGCAAUUGAGAUGAAAAGAGUAGUGACUCCAAUCAUCAACUUAACCGGUAACGACACAAGGAAGUCCUCAUAUGAAUAACGUGAGGUAAGGAUGCUCAAGAAUGUAAUUAGGGAUGUUGAAGAGCAAAAUACUGCAAUUGCGCUUGAAACCGAAUAGGCCAGGCCUAAUUUAGGACUUUGGUGGUUUAAUUUAUAAUCUGGUUGGUAAGAAAAGGCUAUAGUUCCAAUUAGUGUUGCAACCACCAUAGAUGAUUUAGCCAUAUUCAUCAUCCACUUCUCUCCCUGCUUCCUUAACUUCUUGUGGCUCUUUGCAAAUAAAACAUAUGGUGUUUCCCCGUUUCCAUUUUUCA
Quercus lobata is the source of this 912-nucleotide long non-coding RNA. RefSeq lists it as uncharacterized. The transcript is spliced from 3 exons. The record is from RefSeq and is a predicted model, not a curated record. Lineage: Eukaryota; Viridiplantae; Streptophyta; Magnoliopsida; Fagales; Fagaceae.